GCUGCGAGCGAACAGGGAAGAGCCCAGCACCGAAUCCCGCGGCCGAUACCGGACGCCGGGAAAUGUGGUGUUAGGGAGGGUCCAUUAUCCCGAGGUUAUGCGGUGCGUCCAAGUCCUUCUUGAACGGGGCCACAGCCCAUAGAGGGUGCUAGGCCCGUAGUGACCGCUGCUAAUCGCGGGAGGAUCUCUCCUCAGAGUCGGGUUGCUUGAGAGUGCAGCCCUAAGUGGGUGGUAAACUCCAUCUAAGGCUAAAUAUGACCACGAGACCGAUAGCGAACAAGUACCGUGAGGGAAAGUUGAAAAGCACUUUGAAGAGAGAGUUAAAGAGUACGUGAAACCGUUUAGGGGUAAACCUGAGAAAUCCGAAAGGUCGAAGGGAGAAAUUCAUUCGCGUCUCGCUAUUAGCGUUAAGCGGUCGUGUGACGAAGAACGUUCGCGUUCACCGCGCCUUCCGUUUUUCGAUCCGAUGGCGAACGCGUGCACUUUUCUCCUGGUAGGACGUCGCGAUCCGUUGGGUGUCGGUCUACGGCUCUCGGUGGAGCCCGUGCGUACGGCUUGCCGUCACGCGCGGACCCGAGUGUCCCGGCUGACUCGCUCGACGGUAUACGAAAGGUUUAAGGCCGCUCUCUUUUUUGAGCGUUCGGCUCGUUGCAAGCGCGCCGGAUGUGUUGGCGAUCGGACCUAGCGCCGGUUCUGACCUCCGGUGACUGUUGGCGACGAAGUUCUCGAACAGACCUCUAACCGAUCUGCGAC
RNAcentral lists this ribosomal RNA (753 nucleotides) under Scepticus uniformis. RNAcentral's name for it is "eukaryotic LSU rRNA". It matches the Rfam family "Eukaryotic large subunit ribosomal RNA", at positions 86 to 606 of the family's 3401-position model. The record is from RNAcentral. Lineage: Eukaryota; Metazoa; Arthropoda; Insecta; Coleoptera; Curculionidae.